AACGAACCUUCGGGUUAGUGGCGGACGGGUGAGUAACGCGUGGGAAUCUGCCCUCAGGAGGGGGAUAACGGUUGGAAACGGCCGCUAAUACCCCAUAUGCCGAGAGGUGAAAUGAAUUUCGCCUGAGGAUGAGCCCGCGUCUGAUUAGCUAGUUGGUGAGGUAAGAGCUCACCAAGGCAUCGAUCAGUAGCUGGUCUGAGAGGAUGAUCAGCCACACUGGGACUGAGACACGGCCCAGACUCCUACGGGAGGCAGCAGUGGGGAAUUUUCCGCAAUGGGCGAAAGCCUGACGGAGCAACGCCGCGUGAGGGAUGAAGGCCUCUGGGCUGUAAACCUCUUUUAUCAAGGAAGAAGAUCUGACGGUACUUGAUGAAUAAGCCACGGCUAAUUCCGUGCCAGCAGCCGCGGUAAUACGGGAGUGGCAAGCGUUAUCCGGAAUUAUUGGGCGUAAAGCGUCCGCAGGCGGCCCAACAAGUCUGCUGUUAAAAAGUGGAGCUUAACUCCAUCAUGGCAGUGGAAACUGUUGGGCUCGAGUGUGGUAGGGGCAGAGGGAAUUCCCGGUGUAGCGGUGAAAUGCGUAGAUAUCGGGAAGAACACCAGUGGCGAAGGCGCUCUGCUGGGCCAUCACUGACGCUCAUGGACGAAAGCCAGGGGAGCGAAAGGGAUUAGAUACCCCUGUAGUCCUGGCCGUAAACGAUGAACACUAGGUGUCGGGGGAAUCGACCCCUCCGGUGUCGUAGCCAACGCGUUAAGUGUUCCGCCUGGGGAGUACGCACGCAAGCGUGAAACUCAAAGGAAUUGACGGGGGCCCGCACAAGCGGUGGAGUAUGUGGUUUAAUUCGAUGCAACGCGAAGAACCUUACCAGGGUUUGACAUCCUGCGAAUCUCUUGGAAACUUGAGAUGCUUCGGGAGCGCAGUGACGGUGGUGAUGGCUGCGUCAGUCUGUCGUGAGAUGUUGGUUAAGUCCCGCAACGAGCGCAACCCACGUCUUUAGUU
This 997-nucleotide ribosomal RNA is filed under the name uncultured bacterium. Its description in RNAcentral is "bacterial SSU rRNA". It matches the Rfam family "Bacterial small subunit ribosomal RNA", at positions 65 to 1116 of the family's 1533-position model. The record is from RNAcentral.